UAUAACCGGGUUUGGGCAUGGGGCGAUAAAGGCAGGGACCUCCAAACCCCACCCUCCAUCUUCCAGAAGCCCUCAUCUCCCUUACCGCCACUCCCAGCCCUGAGGCUGACACCCUCUCCCAUGGAGCCUUGAGCGCCAGAAACAGCCCUGUCAUGGUGCCGCGCCGCAGCAUGGGCAACGCUGCUGUCGCCACCGGGAGCGGCCGGACGGAGGAAGCUUUCGUCGUUCGGUUGGGGCGUUAUCCCGGCGCCAUAACCGUGCCCCUCUGCUCGACUCUUUCUUCCCCGCGCUCUUCUCUCCCAACUUCGGUCGCGGGUGUCGGGGUCCAGACUCUGCACUGCACGGUGAGACACUCCCUAUUUUUUUUACCAUCACUAUCCUCUGCACUCCGCGUAGUAUCCAUCGGAUGGAGUUUUAGGGACCCGGAUGGGAUUUUGAUGGGUGCUGGCAUGGCGCCGCCGUGAGGUGGAAGAAGGGUUGGUAGCCGCUGGAUGGGGAGAGAACGGUUGGGAUUAAAGCUGAGAUCCCCCUUCGAUGCAUUGUGCCCGUGUCGCUGGAGCUUCGGCCAAGGGCCAGGAUUAGACCUCAGUGUGUUUAGGUUCGCGCCGUUAGAUCGUAUUGGACGGUUGGGGCGAGAUCUGGGGCUUAAUAAAAUCGUGACCGCAGAUCUGGCGUUGUGCGGUCGAUGUUGCACACCGGUUCGGAAUGAAUCUGGAUCUAAUCGGCACCCUCACUUUCAGAUCCAACGGCCAGAAUUGACCUGUACCCCUUCAGCCAUGUAAUCUUGCAUAAGAAACCCUAUCUUUAUUAGGAGUAAACCCGCAGACCACAGAUUCUAUUCACUGAGUCUAGGAAAUUUUACCCCAGAGACCCUGAACUUCUCUGUUUUUGUUGCGCAGUUCAAACAAUUAAUAAAACGGGGAAAUCAAUUUAGAGAAUGAUUUUUAGUACGAAAUUUAUUACAGAAACUUGUAAAAUUCCUAGAAAUUUAAUAUGAAGUCCAAAUCAAUCCAUUCCAAUUUAUAUAGUUUUAUAAUAUUAUUUUUUAUCAAUUAGUAUCACUAUUUUGACAUGAAGAUCACAAUAAAAUUUAUAUCCUAUUCAAUCUUGUACAGAACACAUAGAAUCUCUUGAAAUUCAUAACUUAAAAUCUAUAACUCCGAUUUGAUCCGUUCAAGAUGCGUUAGUCUCGUAUAAAUAUUUACUAUGCAAUAACACUAUUUAUUUUACCAUAUCUCAUUAUUUUAUGAUUAGAUCUUUAUUUAACUUAUAUUGGUUAGUCUCGUUAAUGUGUUCAUCAUUAUUUACUAAACUAUGAUAUAUGGCCAAUUUAAAAUUUAGAUUAAAGUUGAGAUAAUUAUUUAUAGAAUAACCUCUUAUAUGAUUUAUAUUAACCAAUUUAUAAUAUAGUUUAAUAUUUUAAUCACAUAAAUCCUGUAUAAAAUCAUAACUCCUUAACCGUAACUCUGAUUUUAGUGGUUCUCGUUCCCACGAUCUCGUAGCGACGCGUAGAUCAUUAUUAUGCAAUUUGUUCUUAUGUUUGGUAUGUUGUUAAUUUUUUCCAUACCAUGUUUGUUUGUAUUGCUACGACUAGCGCGAGGUUUCGAGGAUCUGAAGAAUCACCCUGGUAUCUGAAAUCUUAAGUGCCAAGCAAGUUGUGCCCUUGGUCCACUUUUGUUACCCAA
Molecule: long non-coding RNA, 1685 nt
Filed under: Zea mays
Lineage: Eukaryota; Viridiplantae; Streptophyta; Magnoliopsida; Poales; Poaceae
Description: long non-coding RNA (ZMAY_LNC002332)
Source: RNAcentral